CCAGACUCCUACGGGAGGCAGCAGUGGGGGAUAUUGGACAAUGGGGGGAACCCUGAUCCAGCGACGCCGCGUGAGUGAAGAAGUAUCUCGGUAUGUAAAGCUCUAUCAGCAGGGAAGAAAGAAAUGACGGUACCUGAGUAAGAAGCCCCGGCUAACUACGUGCCAGCAGCCGCGGUAAUACGUAGGGGGCAAGCGUUAUCCGGAAUUACUGGGUGUAAAGGGAGCGCAGACGGUGAAGUAAGCCUGGAGUGAAAGGCGGGGGCCCAACCCCCGGACUGCUCUGGAAACUAUUUGACUGGAGUGCAGGAGAGGUAAGCGGAAUUCCUAGUGUAGCGGUGAAAUGCGUAGAUAUUAGGAGGAACACCAGUGGCGAAGGCGGCUUGCUGGGCUUUUACUGACGCUGAGGCUCGAAAGCGUGGGGAGCAAACAGGAUUAGAUACCCGUGUA
Molecule: ribosomal RNA, 447 nt
Filed under: uncultured bacterium
Lineage: Bacteria
Description: bacterial SSU rRNA
Rfam family: Bacterial small subunit ribosomal RNA
Source: RNAcentral